RNAcentral lists this ribosomal RNA (498 nucleotides) under uncultured bacterium. Its description in RNAcentral is "partial 16S ribosomal RNA". It matches the Rfam family "Bacterial small subunit ribosomal RNA", at positions 30 to 523 of the family's 1533-position model. The record is from RNAcentral.
AUUGAACGCUGGCGGCAUGCCUUACACAUGCAAGUCGAACGGUAACAGGUCUUCGGAUGCUGACGAGUGGCGAACGGGUGAGUAAUACAUCGGAACGUGCCUAGUAGUGGGGGACAACUACUCGAAAGAGUGGCUAAUACCGCAUGAGAUCUACGGAUGAAAGCAGGGGAUCGCAAGACCUUGUGCUACUAGAGCGGCCGAUGGCAGAUUAGGUAGUUGGUGGGAUAAAAGCUUACCAAGCCGACGAUCUGUAGCUGGUCUGAGAGGACGAUCAGCCACGCUGGGACUGAGACACGGCCCAGACUCCGACGGGAGGCAGCAGUGGGGAAUUUUGGACAAUGGGCGAAAGCCUGAUCCAGCAAUGCCGCGUGCAGGAUGAAGGCCUUCGGGUUGUAAACUGCUUUUGUACGGAACGAAAAGCCCCGGGUUAAUACCCUGGGGUCAUGACGGUACCGUAAGAAUAAGCACCGGCUAACUACGUGCCAGCCGCCGCCGUAA